GAUGAACGCUGGCGGCGUGCCUAAUACAUGCCAGUCGAGCGAACAGACGAGGAGCUUGCUCCUCUGACGUUAGCGGCGGACGGGUGAGUAACACGUGGAUAACCUACCUAUAAGACUGGGAUAACUUCGGGAAACCGGAGCUAAUACCGGAUAAUAUAUGGAACCGCAUGGUUCAAUAGUGAAAGACGGUUUUGCUGUCACUUAUAGAUGGAUCCGCGCCGCAUUAGCUAGUUGGUAAGGUAACGGCUUACCAAGGCAACGAUGCGUAGCCGACCUGAGAGGGUGAUCGGCCACACUGGAACUGAGACACGGUCCAGACUCCUACGGGAGGCAGCAGUAGGGAAUCUUCCGCAAUGGGCGAAAGCCUGACGGAGCAACGCCGCGUGAGUGAUGAAGGUCUUCGGAUCGUAAAACUCUGUUAUUAGGGAAGAACAAAUGUGUAAGUAACUAUGCACGUCUUGACGGUACCUAAUCAGAAAGCCACGGCUAACUACGUG
Molecule: ribosomal RNA, 497 nt
Filed under: uncultured bacterium
Lineage: Bacteria
Description: partial 16S ribosomal RNA
Rfam family: Bacterial small subunit ribosomal RNA
Source: RNAcentral